CCUACGGGAGGCAGCAGUGAGGAAUAUUGGUCAAUGGACGAGAGUCUGAACCAGCCAAGUAGCGUGAAGGAUGACUGCCCUAUGGGUUGUAAACUUCUUUUAUAUGGGAAUAAAAUGUUCCACGUGUGGGAUUUUGUAUGUACCAUAUGAAUAAGGAUCGGCUAACUCCGUGCCAGCAGCCGCGGUAAUACGGAGGAUCCGAGCGUUAUCCGGAUUUAUUGGGUUUAAAGGGAGCGUAGGUGGAUUGUUAAGUCAGUUGUGAAAGUUUGCGGCUCAACCGUAAAAUUGCAGUUGAUACUGGCAGUCUUGAGUACAGUAGAGGUGGGCAGAAGUCGUGGUGUAGCGGUGAAAUGCUUAGAUAUCACGAAGAACUCCGAUUGCGAAGGCAGUUCACUGGACUGCAACUGACACUGAGGCUCGAAAGUGUGGGUAUCAAACAGGAUUAGAUACCCCUGUAGUC
Molecule: ribosomal RNA, 460 nt
Filed under: uncultured bacterium
Lineage: Bacteria
Description: partial 16S ribosomal RNA
Rfam family: Bacterial small subunit ribosomal RNA
Source: RNAcentral